CCUACGGGAGGCAGCAGUGGGGAAUCUUGCGCAAUGGGCGAAAGCCUGACGCAGCAACGCCGCGUGCGGGAAGAAGGCUUUCGGGCUGUAAACCGCUUUCAGCAGGAACGAAAAUGACGGUACCUGCAGAAGAAGGAGCGGCCAACUAUGUGCCAGCAGCCGCGGUGAUACAUAGGCUUCAAGCGUUGUCCGGAUUUAUUGGGCGUAAAGAGUUCGUAGGCGGUCAAGUAAGUCGGGUGUGAAAAUUCUGGGCUCAACCCAGAGACGCCACCCGAUACUGCUUAACUUGAGUUCGAUAGGGGAGUGGGGAAUUCCUAGUGUAGCGGUGAAAUGCGCAGAUAUUAGGAGGAACACCGGUGGCGAAGGCGCCACUCUGGAUCGAUACUGACGCUGAGGAACGAAAGCAUGGGUAGCAAACAGGAUUAGAUACCCUGGUAGUCCAUGCCGUAAACGGUGGGCACUAGGUGUGGGUUUCUAUUAACGAAAUCCGCGCCGUCGCUAACGCAUAGUAGCCCGCCGUCGGGUAGGUACGGUCGCGAGACGUAAACGUUAAAGUAGAGUAGUAACGGUCGUAAGUUACGUUGUCGACGGACGACGACGAGGGAGGAGG
RNAcentral lists this ribosomal RNA (610 nucleotides) under uncultured bacterium. RNAcentral's name for it is "bacterial SSU rRNA". The stretch from base 1 to 518 matches the Rfam family "Bacterial small subunit ribosomal RNA", at positions 338 to 873 of the family's 1533-position model. The record is from RNAcentral.